This 460-nucleotide ribosomal RNA is filed under the name uncultured bacterium. Its description in RNAcentral is "partial 16S ribosomal RNA". It matches the Rfam family "Bacterial small subunit ribosomal RNA", at positions 338 to 795 of the family's 1533-position model. The record is from RNAcentral.
CCUACGGGAGGCAGCAGUGAGGAAUAUUGGUCAAUGGACGCAAGUCUGAACCAGCCAUGCCGCGUGCAGGAAGACGGCUCUAUGAGUUGUAAACUGCUUUUGUACGAGGGUAAAUCCCGAUACGUGUAUCGGGUUGAAAGUAGCGUACGACUAAGGAUCGGCUAACGCCGUGCCAGCAGCCGCGGUAAUACGGAGGAUUCAAGCGUUAUCCGGAUUUAUUGGGUGUAAAGGGUGCGUAGGCGGGUCGAUAAGUUAGAGGUGAAAGCCCGGGGCUCAACUCCGGCACUGCCUUUGAUACUGUCGGGCUAGAGUUUAGUUGCGGUAGGCGGAAUGUAUGGUGUAGCGGUGAAAUGCAUAGAGAUCAUACAGAACACCGAUUGCGAAGGCAGCUUACCAAACUACGACUGACGUUGAGGCACGAAAGCGUGGGGAGCAAACAGGAUUAGAUACCCUUGUAGUC